Molecule: long non-coding RNA, 1396 nt
Filed under: Capra hircus (goat)
Lineage: Eukaryota; Metazoa; Chordata; Mammalia; Artiodactyla; Bovidae
Description: lncRNA (ENSCHIG00010020669.1)
Source: RNAcentral
CAGGCAAGAAUACUGGAGUGGGUUGCCGCGCCCUCCUUCAGGGGAUCUUCCCAACCCAGGGAUCGAGCCCACAUCUCUUAUAUCUCCUACAUUGGCAGGCGGGUUAUUUACCACUAAGGCCACCUGGGAAGCAUGUUUUAAAAGGAGGAAUGAAGAGACAUCUACAGUCCAGGGGUAUCUUUACCAUCAGUGAGCUUGGUUAGAAACUCAGCAGAUUAGUUUAUAACUACGGAAAAACCAUUGAGGUUUUCAAUAUUUAUCAGUUUUAUCCUGAAUGUGAACAUGAGGUAUUCUGGAUCAGUGUUCAUGUAAGAAAUACACUGCCCCACCCCUCUAGGGUAUUGCAGUAAUGGCCAGGUCAAGUGUCUCACCCAAGUAGCUGGACACUCUGUAAGGGAGUGAUGACAAACAGUGGUUUUUCUCUUUUGCUUAUAAAAAGGAAGGGAAGUACCUGUCCGCCUCCCUUCCUGAAAUAGUCUCCUUAGAAAUAUAUCUGAGUCCUUGCUCCUUAUGUGACUAAAAUAACUCCAGGAGCCACAUAAUCCCAUUUAUGAGCUGGAGACGUCUCCAAGGUCUGGACUGCAAGCCAGAGGAGAUAGCACUGCCACUGGUCAUCCCAGCACCCUGGGGCUCAACCUAGGGACCUAGUCUGUGUUGAAACAAUUCAGCUCUCUCAGGGACAUAAGAGAAAUUGUAUUAUCAGCUCAGAUCAAAUCAAUUACCCAGACAAGUGGAUCCAGAUUUAAUUCUCAUGGUCUGUGAAGAGUGCCUGGAGGCUUGGACUUUUUUGCAGGGCACCACAAAAGCUAGGGAACCUUUAUCUCCCUGUAAACACCCACCAUGUUCUAACCCAAGGAGUGCCUAGAAAUUUCUGAUGUUCAAAAAAUUAAUUUUGUUCAGUAAACUUUUGAAUUUAUACUUUGUGAAAAGGUAAGAUAUAGUUCCUAAUUUGCAAUGGUUCAUGCAGUCAAGUUAUUACAGGCCUAGAAACUACUGCUUACACAGUUUCAGAGCAGAUACAUCAAUAUCGCAUACAGGUAGGCUAACUGUCAAAUAGCAAGAAAAGANNNNNNNNNNNNNNNNNNNNNNNNNNNNNNNNNNNNNNNNNNNNUGCCUCACUGUCACUGCACACAGAGGUCCUGAAGACCUGUAGUAUUAAUAGAAACUUAUCUAUCCCGACCCCUCUGCAGUUCACAAAAUGCAACACCCAUAAAACAGCUCAUUCAUCUCCAUAAAAAUCAGUCAGAAGAGUGAUUAGUAUAGCCCAGAAGAAGUGAAGUUUCUUGCCCAAAGUGAUGAAUAAAAAAUGGACAUCAAAUUCUGAUUCAGAUCUUUGAUUACAAAACCUGAAUCCUUUUCACAAAGUGAAUUCUAUGUAAUUCUAUGUAAGUAAUCA